CUUUUAUGGAGAGUUUGAUCCUGGCUCAGGACGAACGCUGGCGGCGUGCCUAAUACAUGCAAGUCGAGCGGA
This 72-nucleotide ribosomal RNA is filed under the name Gottfriedia luciferensis. RNAcentral's name for it is "Bacillus luciferensis partial 16S ribosomal RNA". It matches the Rfam family "Bacterial small subunit ribosomal RNA", at positions 1 to 70 of the family's 1533-position model. Lineage: Bacteria; Bacillati; Bacillota; Bacilli; Caryophanales; Bacillaceae. The record is from RNAcentral.